RNAcentral lists this non-coding RNA (70 nucleotides) under Pessonella sp. PRA-29. Lineage: Eukaryota; Discosea; Flabellinia; Vannellidae. The record is from RNAcentral.
AGACUGGCAAAACAUUCAUUAUUUCGGUGUUGUUGCCGUUGUUUUUUACAAUUUUCUUUUCAUUUCAAAC